This 72-nucleotide transfer RNA is filed under the name Plenaster craigi. RNAcentral's name for it is "tRNA-Met". It matches the Rfam family "tRNA". Rfam says of the family: Transfer RNA (tRNA) molecules are approximately 80 nucleotides in length. Their secondary structure includes four short double-helical elements and three loops (D, anti-codon, and T loops). The record is from RNAcentral. Lineage: Eukaryota; Metazoa; Porifera; Demospongiae; Axinellida; Stelligeridae.
GGUGUUAUAGUUUAAAGGUAAAAUAAUUAUCUCAUACGUAAAAGAUAGGGGUUCAAUUCCCCUUAUGCACCC